Molecule: ribosomal RNA, 691 nt
Filed under: uncultured soil bacterium
Lineage: Bacteria
Description: bacterial SSU rRNA
Rfam family: Bacterial small subunit ribosomal RNA
Source: RNAcentral
GAACGCUGGCGGCAGGCUUAACACAUGCAAGUCGAGCGGGCGUAGCAAUACGUCAGCGGCAGACGGGUGAGUAACGCGUGGGAACAUACCUUUUGGUUCGGAACAACACAGGGAAACUUGUGCUAAUACCGGAUAAGCCCUUACGGGGAAAGAUUUAUCGCCGAAAGAUUGGCCCGCGUCUGAUUAGCUAGUUGGUGAGGUAACGGCUCACCAAGGCGACGAUCAGUAGCUGGUCUGAGAGAAUGAUCAGCCACAUUGGGACUGAGACACGGCCCAAACUCCUACGGGAGGCAGCAGUGGGGAAUAUUGGACAAUGGGCGCAAGCCUGAUCCAGCCAUGCCGCGUGAGUGAUGAAGGCCCUAGGGUUGUAAAGCUCCUUUGUGCGGGAAGAUAAUGACGGUACCGCAAGAAUAAGCCCCGGCUAACUUCGUGCCAGCAGCCGCGGUAAUACGAAGGGGGCUAGCGUUGCUCGGAAUCACUGGGCGUAAAGGGUGCGUAGGCGGGUCUUUAAGUCAGGGGUGAAAUCCUGGAGCUCAACUCCAGAACUGCCCUUGAUACUGAGGAUCUUGAGUUCGGGAGAGGUGAGUGGAACUGCGAGUGUAGAGUGAAAUUCGUAGAUAUUCGCAAGAACACCAGUGGCGAAGGCGGCUCACUGGCCCGAUACUGACGCUGAGGCACGAAAGCGUGGGGA